GCACAAGCAGUGAGUAUGUGGUUUAAUUCGAAGCAACGCGAAGAACCUUACCAGGUCUUGACAUCCCCUGACAACCCGAGAGAUCGGGCGUUCCCCUUCGGGGGACAGGGUGACAGGUGGUGCAUGGUUGUCGUCAGCUCGUGUCGUGAGAUGUUGGGUUAAGUCCCGCAACGAGCGCAACCCCUACGUUUAGUUGCUAACGCGUGAAGGCGAGCACUCUAGACGAACUGCCGUUGACAAAACGGAGGAAGGUGGGGAUGACGUCAAAUCAUCAUGCCCCUUAUGUUCUGGGCUACACACGUGCUACAAUGGCCGGUACAGACGGACGCAAAGCCGCGAGGUGGAGCAAAUCCUAAAAAGCCGGUCUCAGUUCGGAUUGCAGGCUGCAAUUCGCCUGCAUGAAGUCGGAAUCGCUAGUAAUCGCAGGUCAGCAUACUGCGGUGAAUACGUUCCCGGGCCUU
Molecule: ribosomal RNA, 461 nt
Filed under: uncultured Pelotomaculum sp.
Lineage: Bacteria; Bacillati; Bacillota; Clostridia; Eubacteriales; Desulfotomaculaceae
Description: bacterial SSU rRNA
Rfam family: Bacterial small subunit ribosomal RNA
Source: RNAcentral